GAUGAACGCUGGCGGCGUGCCUAAUACAUGCAAGUCGAGCGAACAGACGAGGAGCUUGCUCCUCUGACGUUAGCGGCGGACGGGUGAGUAACACGUGGAUAACCUACCUAUAAGACUGGGAUAACUUCGUGAAACCGGAGCUAAUACCGGAUAACAUGUUGAACCGCAUGGUUCAACAGUGAAAGACGGUCUUGCUGUCACUUAUAGAUGGAUCCGCGCCGCAUUAGCUAGUUGGUAAGGUAACGGCUUACCAAGGCAACGAUGCGUAGCCGACCUGAGAGGGUGAUCGGCCACACUGGAACUGAGACACGGUCCAGACUCCUACGGGAGGCAGCAGUAGGGAAUCUUCCGCAAUGGGCGAAAGCCUGACGGAGCAACGCCGCGUGAGUGAUGAAGGUCUUCGGAUCGUAAAACUCUGUUAUUAGGGAAGAACAAAUGUGUAAGUAACUAUGCACGUCUUGACGGUACCUAAUCAGAAAGCCACGGCUAACUACGUG
Molecule: ribosomal RNA, 497 nt
Filed under: uncultured bacterium
Lineage: Bacteria
Description: partial 16S ribosomal RNA
Rfam family: Bacterial small subunit ribosomal RNA
Source: RNAcentral